Molecule: long non-coding RNA, 3811 nt
Organism: Gopherus flavomarginatus (Mexican gopher tortoise)
Lineage: Eukaryota; Metazoa; Chordata; Testudines; Testudinidae
Exons: 3
Source: RefSeq, a predicted model, not a curated record
ACUGAAUGAUCUAACUCUUCAGCUGAUUGGAUUAAAAGCAGGAGAGCUAACCUAGAUUUUGUAGUGUGUCUCGUAACUUUUUAACAUCUUGUUUUUCCUUAAACCUCAGUUCUUAAAAUGUAAUAUCUGAACUUAAGCCGGUGCCUGUCUUAAGUCUGGAGGGUGAUGCAAUCUGCAGCUUUAAUAUAAAAAGAGAAAAUACUUGUGAUGCCAAAGUACAUUUCAAAAGAACUAAUUUCUGACCUUGAAAGGAUGAGUAAAAUGCUCUGGGCUUCACUACAUAUAAAACAAGUAAAGCCAAAACAGGGAAAGUUACAGAUUCCACCCACCCAAUGAAACAGAAAAGGCUUCCUUUUAUUACCCCAUAAAAAUAAAACUGCAUGUUUCCAGUUGUUCAGGGUGACAAAAUCUGAGAGAAGUGCCAAACUAUACUGUGGAGUGUAUUGGCCUUACCAGUAUGAUGAAUCCCUUCACAUCAGUUAAGCAGGCUCUGUACCAUUUACCUUUUGCCUAGGCACUGUGCUGAAUUUUGAUUGUGAGUGAAGUAAUAUUGAAUUUCUGAACCUGUAUACCCAGUUCUGUCCCAGAGAGGAGGAGGAGGAACAAAUCAGCAAGGGAUGGCGUGGGAGGGGGAGUAAUACUAAAGCUUAGAUGAAAACUAGAGUUGUCUGGACAUCCUCUCCUGGGCCCUGCCUUUUUCCAUUUGCGCAAACCUUCCUUUCAAAAGCAAGGCCCCACUAGGCCCCUGUGAGUGAUCCAUAGGACUUGGUUUUCACAGUAAUCUGCUAGUUAUGGGGUUCUCAAACUUCAUUGCAUUGCAACCCCCUUCUGACAACAAAAAUUGCUUCACGACCCCAGGAGGGGGACUAAAGCCUGAGCCCACCUAAGCCCGACUGCCCCCGGUGGGAGGGCCAAAGCCCAAGCACUACUGCUCUGGGCAGGAGGGCCAAAGCUGAAGCUUAAGGGCUUCAGCCUCAGGCCUGUGGCCUGCAACCUGAGUCCUGCCACCCAGGGCUGAAGCCCUCGGGCUUUGGCUUUGGUCCUGGGCAAUGGUGCUUGGGCUUCAGCCCCAGGCCCCAGCAAGUCUAAGCCAGCCUUGGCCACCCCAUUCAAAGGAGGUUCCGACCCACUUUGGGGUCCUGACCCACAGUUUGAGAACUGCUGUGCUAGUCCAUGUUCCUCUGAGAAGAAAUGUGAUCAGUAUUCAAAGCGUGGGACUGGGAGACUUGAGGUCCUGAAUUGUAAACCUGGCUCUGUCAUUGAUUUGCACUGUGGUAAUUCAGGCUCUGAAGCUGUGGAAUGCCGAGCCCCUUCAGCUCCCAUUAACACCACUCUUAGCACCUAGGAGGAUCAACUCUUUACCCUCUUCCUAGAUUUCAUUCCCCUAAUAUAAAACAGGGCAUGGGAACCAUACUUCAUUGGUGUGUUGUGGAGAGUGAUCAGUUAAUGGGCCAAAUUCUGCUCUCUUUCAUCUGUUCAGCACCCUGGACUUCAGGUGUAAUGGAUAAAAAGUUGGACAAACAUUGGGAUGCAUUCUUUUCUAAACAUGCAGUAUUUAAAAGCUGUCUGGCAUUACUGAUGUGGUCUUUGGGUCCAGCUGAAUGUAGUUUUUCCUGGGUGGCCUUUGCAGUUUUGCAGACCUAGAAGUGCUCUGAGAGAUGUUCACUGCAGGAAAUAAUUGGUGCCUAAUUGACAUUCCAGUGACUCCCUUGGGCUGGAGGGUACCUUUCCUGAAGACACUGGCUGAUGUAUAAACGUCUAAGCUACCUGCAGUCAUGUAGUAAACACACACCUCUGGUAUGUGCUUUGUAUGAUAAAUUGGUGUCUCAUUCUUGCUAAUUGCUUUCUGGCUGCUUUAUCAACAGACAGGUAUCUUCUCCAAGCAGCUUUUAUGUGCUCUCUCCAGAAUUGUCAGGCUGACUCUGCUAACUGUUAGAACCCAAGGGCACAAUGGUAAGGCAGAGAGGGAAAGUUGCUGCAAUUAAUGCUGAUACAGGGUUUAUUAAGAUGAAAAGACUUUUCUCAAAAGUCCUAAACAGUGAAUGGCUGAUGUAUGGCGUGAGGAGGGUAAAUCAGGAAAGCUGGUACAGUAUGUUUCUUCUGAUGCAGUGACAUAUGGAAGAGAUGGUGCCUUGGAAGGGAGGGAGCAGAGAAGUUUGCCGCUGGCUCUGGAUAGCCCCAAUCCUGCUGCCACUGAAUUUUGCCACUAUCUUCAAUGGAAGCAGGAGGAGAAGGUGACCCAGCAACGAGUGUCUGUGCGAAAGAGCAGCUGCAAUCCAUUGGCCAUCCCCACUGAAUACCAGGAGGAGAGUGAAGAUGAAAGGUUUUCCCAGAGGUGAAGAAGUAGAACAAAAGAAACCAAAGGGACAGUCUGGAAGAAGAAAACAUCUGUGACAGUUUGGUCUGCUACUAUAAGGUAAAUGCCAUAAUAUCAGCCUGUACAGACAAUGUCUGCAUUUGGGGAUACAGAUUUAUCAAUGGAAGGCAGUAUUGUGUAGUGGUUAAAGCACCAAACUGCGUGCAAGACAGAGAUGUGACCAGAACCUAGAUAAGGGAUUCACAAUGCAAACUUGAGAAAAUCACAUAAGCCCUCUGUCUCCAUUUCCCUAUUUGUAAAAUAGCAAACCGAUGUACUUCUGUGAAGUGCUUUAAGAUCCUUGACUGAGAAGUGCCAUGGAUAUAGCACAGAGGUAUCCAUCCAAUAAUCAGUGGAACAUCUCCUUUUCAAAUAAAGUCUCUAGAAAAUAACAGAAGCUCUCAGCUGUAAGAAAAGAGUAAGUAGAUUCAACCCAUUCCUAAUGAGCAGGCACAGCCUUUAAUUCCCUUUUUCCCUCCCUCUCUGGAGUUCCAUGGCAUCUCCUUUGACUUUGCUCUGUCAAACUGCAGAGCCUAAAUCUGCCCUGGCACCUCAGAAAAACUAGAGAUAAAAGGAAAAAAAAUGUGUACAAGUCAGACAGGUGGAAAAGGCUUUUGUGCUUCCCUGGUAAUCUGAGAGCUUUUGAGUCCCUCCUAGACUCCCUGAUUUGACUGCAACAAAGAGUCCUGUGGCACCUUAGAGACUAACAGAUGUAUUGGAGCAUGAGCUUUCGUGGGUGAAUAGUGUUCACUGAAUACCCACUUCGUCAGAUCCUACAGCCUUAGUCAAAACUUCCACAGGCUUUGAAAGUGUUACCAGAAGACAGACCUUGGAACCUGACCCAGCAAUAGUCUGUCCCCACAGUAAAACAUAAAGCAAUUAAAGAGAGCAGACAUUUCAGCUAGUGCGAACCAGUACUUAGGCAGCUUCCUUCACCAAUGAUGUCAAAGUCCUUUAAAGCUAGCUGAGUACUAAUAUACCCAUUUUACAGGUGGUGAAACAAGCCCCAGGAAGCUUAACUUCACCAGGAUCAUGUGGAGAACCAGUAGAAUAUACGCUUGCUGGAUACCCUGUCAUCCAUUAGCCAUUAGACCUUGUAGCCUUUGGGUGUAAAAAUACUUUUCACUCUUUUAGCGGCUUCCAUGUUAUGAUUCCAAAGCAUUUUAUAAACACUGAUCUUCUCAACAUCCCUCUAAGGUAGGAAAUCAUGAUUAACUACCCCUAUUUUAUAGAAAGUGAAAAUGAAGCACAGAGGAGAGAGUGGAGUGCCGCAGGUCACACACAAGCUCUGUGGUACAGCCAGAAAUAGAACCUUGUAUUCACAGUUUUAUGCCUUAACCACAAGCCCAGUGGUCCCCAACCUUUUUGGCUGGUAGGCGCCAGCCAAAGGACCACUGCGGCGGUGGAGCACCUGCCGAAAUGCCGCCAAAUUUCGGCAGCAACACCUCUCGAUGA